UUGAACGCUGGCGGCAUGCCUUACACAUGCAAGUCGAACGGCAGCACGGGAGCAAUCCUGGUGGCGAGUGGCGAACGGGUGAGUAAUGUAUCGGAACGUACCUUUCAGUGGGGGAUAACGUAGCGAAAGUUACGCUAAUACCGCAUAUUCUGUGAGCAGGAAAGCGGGGGACCGUAAGGCCUCGCGCGAUGGGAGCGGCCGAUAUCGGAAUAGCUUGUUGGUGAGGUAAAGGCUCACCAAGGCGACGAUCCGUAGCUGGUCUGAGAGGACGACCAGCCACACUGGAACUGAGACACGGUCCAGACUCCUACGGGAGGCAGCAGUGGGGAAUUUUGGACAAUGGGGGCAACCCUGAUCCAGCCAUUCCGCGUGAGUGAAGAAGGCCUUCGGGUUGUAAAGCUCUUUCAGCAGGAACGAAACGGUGGCCCCUAAUACGGGCUACUAAUGACGGUACCUGAAGAAGAAGCACCGGCUAACUACGU
RNAcentral lists this ribosomal RNA (482 nucleotides) under uncultured bacterium. Its description in RNAcentral is "bacterial SSU rRNA". It matches the Rfam family "Bacterial small subunit ribosomal RNA", at positions 30 to 506 of the family's 1533-position model. The record is from RNAcentral.